Molecule: non-coding RNA, 2450 nt
Organism: Chlorocebus sabaeus (green monkey)
Lineage: Eukaryota; Metazoa; Chordata; Mammalia; Primates; Cercopithecidae
Source: RefSeq, a predicted model, not a curated record
UGUCACCAAAAGGCAAGCUUUUAUUUUCAAGCAUUUCUAGAAAUCAGCUUAUGCCAUUUACUCCAGCAGGAAUGGCAGUCAGCCAUACUGGAAAAUAUUAACAGUUCUAUCCAGUCUCAACAGAGACUCAUUGUCUCAGGAUAAAAACAUUUGUUUAAAUAUUAAACAGUGAAAUCUCGCUGGGUCAUUAAAGCCUAUAAAGAAAGAACAGGACGGAAAUUCAUUAAUAAUCUUAGACUUGAGCCAAGUGAGUGGCUCAGAUGCCAUUUGUCUUGAUGGCAUGUCAUGCACUCAGAGGAAGCGCUGCACAUCACACUCCCAGCUUCGUUCUCACACAAUGUUUACAGGCCUCUCGUGGUACGUGCCUUUCUUCUCAUAAAACAUGCAGAUGCUGAGUAAGAUCAAUCACUUUCAGUUUUCUCCAGGAUUGUCCUGAAUAACCUUGUGGGAGCCAAUCCUUGCUCACAAAUCCGACCCACCAGAGAAAAGAAUGCAGAGUCUGCAGAAACCAACCAGCUUCCCCUUGUGCUCAGGUUAAACUUUCCAACCUGAUGCCAGACCACAGAGAACAGCCGCUUCCUGGAAAUUAGGCAGCACUGAAAUGACCUUCAGCCAGUGUUGCCUUGGACACCGUUGCGGUGUGUUGGAACCAGCCACGGGGCUGCGUGUCUCUGUGCUGACCUCACUUAAGGGAAGGGCAAGGUCAGGAGGCCACGGAAGAGCCAAUUCGUGUGGCAACUCAAUCCUGGGUACGGCCUGUGAGAAGGAUACAGGGAGAGCUGUCAGAAGGGUCUCUAGAAAUUCCCAGGCUCCAGACAGAGGCUCCCCAUGGCACCAAGACACAGAUGCAAGGCUUCCAUCACCUUCAGGAAGUCUUCGAGAAAGAAGAGUUUUCCAGUCGAUGUAAAUGCUGCUGCAGAAAUAAUCAAACAAGGAAUGAUUGCAAUCUAUAAAACCAUGUGGCAUGAGAUUUUCUUUCUUUAUGUUGUAGAGUGUUUUUUUUCCUUGUCGAAGAAAAGAUUUCUCAGUAUUAGUCAUUAGGGAAUUAUAAGUGGAGAUACAUGUUCUUGCUUCCUUCUGACCACAGAAAUUUAUAUCUAGCAUCAAUCCCACCUGCCAAGAAGGGAAGAUGCAAAUUUUGCAAGACAAAAAUGUCACCUCCACUCCAUCCCACCUGGGUCAAAAAUAAUCAUCUCCUCUUCUGUGUAUGUUGACAUCAUUUUUGGUAGAAGUGGUGGUUCCCGUCUUGUAUUGGAGUUAGUGGGGAGUGCAUGUUUCUCCUCCACUGGCCUGUCAGUAUCUUUAGAGUGAAACUCUGUUGACUGCUUGAUUGUAUCCCCCAGCAAUUUCCCAACCUCCCUCACAUGUAGGCUCAGUAGCUAACUUAGAAGAGUUUUCUUUCAAAGACCAACAGCUUUCUCCAGGAGAAGUGGUGGUGGAUUCCAGGAACCUCCAGGGUAAUGAGAGAAUGUACUCACCCAGCCCUGUAGGCCCAGAAUGGCCCUGACAGACUCCAGCCUUUCUGGAAGGGAGGAGGGACAGAACAUCCUCGAGGGUUUAAAGAGAUGCUUAUUGAAGUAAUAAGCAACUGAUCAGGGUAACACCAAGUAUUUUCAUGAUUUUAGUACACCACAGAUAAUUUUGCUUUAUUAUCAAAAAAAUUAAGCUGUCAUGGGCUAGUGGUAUUUUAAUAUUUUUACUCAUGAAUGAUUAUAUGGAAUGUGACAUGCCUAGAAAGAGGCAGGAAUGAGUCAACAUUUUGUUUUCCCUCCAUAUGAAAUAAGUCAGCGGAAAAAAAGAAGUAAAAUUGAUAUUUAUAUAACAUGACAUCUUUAAUUGCAAAUAUUUUUGUUUUAAAAAAUAUGUGGACUUCUAAUGUGUAUGUACACCUAUGUAGAAACUAUAAGAACAAGCACCCUCCCUAACACAGACCAGAAAGAGAGGAAGCUCAGACAGAUCUGCAAGAUUGAAAUCAGAGUGAUUCUACUCCAUUUCUGGGUAGUCUAAGGCCUAACCCCAAACAGAAACAAUUGUAAUCUCAGAAAGUUUCACACUGAAAGACUAAAGCACACUGGUCUGAGAACUGCAGGUUGAAAUUCGCGCCCUGGAGAAUGACCAAAUUGGAAAGGAUAAGAGGAUUUGCUGUCACUCUAAAAUGAAUCUCAUUGGUUUGACUUCCCGGCCUCUAAAAGGCAUCAAUUGUGUCCAUAGAAUUUGACGAUAACUCCAUGUCACAGCCAGUACAGAAAAUAUAUUGUCUAAUAAAGUUUCCAGAAAUGAGCUCAUUGUACAGGCUCUUCAACAUCCUAUCAGUUUGAUCAAUGUUGCAUUUGGAUCUUUUCCUGAGCCACUGACUCAAGGAGAGACAUGCCUAAAGUGGAGAACAUGCACACAUGGCAACACACAGGAGGACACACAUUUAUAUCCACUUUCCAAACAUAAAACAGCAC